CUAUGCGCCUUGCCAGCCCGCUCAGGUGUGCCAGCAGCCGCGGUAAUACGGAGGAUGCGAGCGUUAUCCGGGUUUAUUGGGUUUAAAGGGUGCGUAGGCGGAUUUUUAAGUCAGCGGUAAAAUGUCCGGGCUCAACCCGGGCCGGCCGUUGAAACUGGGGAUCUUGAGUGGGCGAGAAGUAUGCGGAAUGCGUGGUGUAGCGGUGAAAUGCAUAGAUAUCACGCAGAACUCCGAUUGCGAAGGCAGCAUACCGGCGCCCGACUGACGCUGAGGCACGAAAGCGUGGGGAUCGAACAGG
Molecule: ribosomal RNA, 298 nt
Filed under: uncultured bacterium
Lineage: Bacteria
Description: partial 16S ribosomal RNA
Rfam family: Bacterial small subunit ribosomal RNA
Source: RNAcentral